CAUUUUUUGAGAAGAAGCAAAUGUCAGCAUAGAAUCCACAGAUGAUGGGAGAAGACCACCCUUUCUUCAAUUUUGUUACUCAGCCAAUUGAAGGGACAGAACUUGACAGUUUGCAAGAAACAAAAUCACUGCUUACAGUUUCUUUUGAAGACCCUCACCUGGAGUUACACACUGAUGUCAGUUCUUUGUGGAAAUAAGACCCGCUCUCAGGGCCUCAUGAUUGGAUGCUUUUUGAUACCCAAGGAUGCGGCCUGGAAGACUAGUGUGCCUUCAUGUUUCUGGGAUUUCGUGGUUCUGGGGAUGCGCUGAUUUUAGGCCGGUAACACUGACGGAGGCAUCGCGGAAGAACACAGAACAUUGGGAGUAGCCGUGGGCUGUGUGUCCAGACACCUGAGCCUCUCUGGGCUCAGAGUUCAAAAAAAGCAACACAACAGACUUUUAACAUCAUAAAAUCAGCAACUUGUUUGUUAUGUUUCCCCUCUGGCUGUGAAAUGAGGACACUUCUUUUUCCCUUAUUACGGAAAGGGAGAGCCUGUGGUAUGUCAAAUUACCAGGUGUGUGAGUAGUCUUCGGGGUACUGCAGAUCUGUGUCUUUAUUGAUGCUUUGCUGCAGGCUUCUCUGCUUGGUAGGGAGC
Hypanus sabinus (Atlantic stingray) is the source of this 635-nucleotide long non-coding RNA. RefSeq lists it as uncharacterized. The record is from RefSeq and is a predicted model, not a curated record. The transcript is spliced from 3 exons. Lineage: Eukaryota; Metazoa; Chordata; Chondrichthyes; Myliobatiformes; Dasyatidae.